Molecule: ribosomal RNA, 487 nt
Filed under: uncultured bacterium
Lineage: Bacteria
Description: partial 16S ribosomal RNA
Rfam family: Bacterial small subunit ribosomal RNA
Source: RNAcentral
GAUGAACGCUAGCGAUAGGCUUAACACAUGCAAGUCGAGGGGCAGCACAAGGUAGCUUGCUAUCUGGGUGGCGACCGGCGCACGGGUGCGUAACGCGUAUGCAACUUGCCCUAUACAGGAGGAUAACCCGUCGAAAGACGGACUAAUACUGCGUAUGCUCACAACUUGGCAUCAAGUGGUGAGGAAAGAAAUUCGGUAUAGGAUAGGCAUGCGUCCCAUUAGCUUGUUGGUGAGGUAACGGCUCACCAAGGCAACGAUGGGUAGGGGAACUGAGAGGUUUAUCCCCCACACUGGUACUGAGACACGGACCAGACUCCUACGGGAGGCAGCAGUGAGGAAUAUUGGUCAAUGGGCGCGAGCCUGAACCAGCCAAGUCGCGUGAAGGAUGACUGUCUUAUGGAUUGUAAACUUCUUUUAUACGGGAAUAACAAGAGUCACGUGUGACUCCCUGCAUGUACCGUAUGAAUAAGCAUCGGCUAACUCCGUA